This 495-nucleotide ribosomal RNA is filed under the name uncultured bacterium. RNAcentral's name for it is "partial 16S ribosomal RNA". It matches the Rfam family "Bacterial small subunit ribosomal RNA", at positions 28 to 507 of the family's 1533-position model. The record is from RNAcentral.
GACGAACGCUGGCGGCGUGCCUAAUACAUGCAAGUAGAACGCUGACGGAGGAGAUUGCUUCUCUGGAUGAGUUGCGAACGGGUGAGUAACGCGUAGGUAACCUGCCUGGUAGCGGGGGAUAACUAUUGGAAACGAUAGCUAAUACCGCAUAAUAGUAGAUGUUGCAUGACAUUUGCUUAAAAGGUGCAAUUGCAUCACUACCAGAUGGACCUGCGUUGUAUUAGCUAGUUGGUGAGGUAACGGCUCACCAAGGCGACGAUACAUAGCCGACCUGAGAGGGUGAUCGGCCACACCUGGACUGGAGACCGGCCCAAGCCCCUACGGGGGGCAGCAGUAGGGAAUCUUCGGCAAUGGACGGAAGUCUGACCGAGCAACGCCGCGUGGGUGAAGGAGGUUUUCGGAUCGUAAAGCUCUGUUGUAAGAGAAGAAAGAGUGUGAGAGUGGAAAGUUCACACUGUGACGGUAUCUUACCAGAAAGGGACGGCUAACUACGUG